UUCUCGGCAGCCCGGCUGGGCUCGGCUCCGGCCUAAGGCUGGGCACUCCGCUGCCGCUGCAGACUUGCAGGUGUGUCCUAAGAGCCUUGGGGUCCUGGAGGCUCCGCGAACCCUCGAGCUCCUCCGGGCUUGCCCAGUUCUUCCUGGCUCCUUCGUAGCUGUUCCAGUCCUAAGGAAACUCCUGGCUGUCGCGUUCCCCAGAGCCACGACUUUGUGGGGCCUAGGCUAGGGGGGAGGAGGAAUUCUGCCCAGACUCUCCAGCAGUUGGUAGCAGGCAAGCUUUCUCCUGUGUCGCCUGGAAAAGUUGCAAAAUUGCUCUUCACCUGUAAGAACAUGCAUUUUAUCUUCCAGUCUCUUCUUGUCAAUUUGGAAAUUGCAGACACCCCGGCUCAGAUGUUUAUCUACAGAUUAAACAUUUAAAUUGUGGGUGUAUGUAUAUUAUACCAUCACCUCUAGACACUCAGAAGAAGAGGAUUUCAGCUUACGAAGCCUUCUGUCUUACCAGGGCUUGUCUUUGCUCGUGAUACUGUGUCAGGAAGCAGAAGGGUCAUGAACUUGUCGUCGUCGUCAUCAUCAUUGUCAUCGUCAUCAUCAUCACCAUCACCACCAGCAGCAGCAGCAGCAGCAGCAGCAGCAGCAAGAUUUUGUGUUGGGAAGGUACUUCCAAAUGCUACAGGGGACAGAAGGUCAUCAGC
Molecule: long non-coding RNA, 695 nt
Filed under: Mus musculus (house mouse)
Lineage: Eukaryota; Metazoa; Chordata; Mammalia; Rodentia; Muridae
Description: orthodenticle homeobox 2 opposite strand 1
Source: RNAcentral